RNAcentral lists this ribosomal RNA (420 nucleotides) under Clostridioides difficile. RNAcentral describes it as "partial 23S ribosomal RNA". It matches the Rfam family "Bacterial large subunit ribosomal RNA", at positions 1 to 423 of the family's 2925-position model. Lineage: Bacteria; Bacillati; Bacillota; Clostridia; Peptostreptococcales; Peptostreptococcaceae. The record is from RNAcentral.
GGUCAAGUUAUUAAGGGUGCAGGGCGGAUGCCUUGGCACUAGGAGCCGAUGAAGGACGUGAUAAGCUGCGAUAAGCUUCGGGGAGUUGCACGUAAACUUUGAUCCGAAGAUUUCCGAAUGAGGAAACUCACUUAGAGUAAUGUCUAAGUAUCAUUAAGUGAAUACAUAGCUUAAUGAGGGGAACUCAGGGAACUGAAACAUCUAAGUACCUGAAGGAAGAGAAAGAAAUUCGAUUCCGUAAGUAGCGGCGAGCGAACGCGGAUUAGCCCAAACCAAUAAAGUUUUCUUUAUUGGGGUUGCGGACAUAUCAUAACGAAGAGGUAUCGUAAUUGAAGAGGUUUGGAAAGACCCACCACAGAAGGUAAUAGUCCUGUAUGUUAAACGAGAAGACUUCAGAUAUGAUCCAGAGUACCACGGGAC